GACGGAUGGGGCUAGCGUUGUUCGGAAUUACUGGGCGUAAAGGGCGCGUAGGCGGUUUGCUAAGUUAGACGUGAAAGCCCUGGGCUCAACCCAGGAAUAGCGUUUAAUACUGGCAAACUAGAGUAUGGUAGAGGUAAGCGGAAUUCCUAGUGUAGAGGUGAAAUUCGUAGAUAUUAGGAAGAACACCAGAGGCGAAGGCGGCUUACUGGGCCAUUACUGACGCUGAGGCGCGAAAGCGUGGGGAGCAAAC
RNAcentral lists this ribosomal RNA (250 nucleotides) under uncultured bacterium. RNAcentral's name for it is "partial 16S ribosomal RNA". It matches the Rfam family "Bacterial small subunit ribosomal RNA", at positions 524 to 773 of the family's 1533-position model. The record is from RNAcentral.